This is a non-coding RNA of Cyanistes caeruleus (blue tit), 181 nucleotides long. Lineage: Eukaryota; Metazoa; Chordata; Aves; Passeriformes; Paridae. The record is from RefSeq and is a predicted model, not a curated record.
GGAUGCAUGUUCAAAUUCCAAGGAAGAAAAAUAUGGAACAGGAGUAACUAGACCCAUCAUCUACAGGAGAACUGUAGAGAAUCCUUCCGGACUGAGGCCACGUCUGACUGAUGUUUCACCAUGCACUGUAAAACUGCUGAAGACCAUCCUUUGCAGUCAGUGUGGCAGAAUAAAUAUUUCU